This is an RNA transcript of Nerophis ophidion (straightnose pipefish), 1018 nucleotides long. It is a transcript of the gene named serine/arginine-rich splicing factor 3-like, with no coding region annotated. The record is from RefSeq and is a predicted model, not a curated record. Lineage: Eukaryota; Metazoa; Chordata; Actinopteri; Syngnathiformes; Syngnathidae. The transcript has 7 exons.
GCAAGCUCUCCGCUCAUGUCUACGCGGCAGAGGCUCCAAGUAAAGACAACUGUCACGCGUUCGGCGCACUUGAUUGCGCGGAGUUGCCACUUCGUGGAUGCACAAGGACCAGUCAGCAGGAGUGCAGGUCGUUUUCACUGCAGGACAUCACUUCGAACUUUUGAACUUGCUGAAAUGGGAGACCCAUCGUUCAACAGGGACUGUCCACUGGACUGCAAAGUUUAUGUUGGAAAUCUUGGAAACAAUGGAAACAAGUCUGAGAUAGAACAGGCUUUUGGAUACUUCGGUCCUUUACGAAGUGUAUGGGUUGCUCGGAACCCCCCUGGCUUUGCUUUUGUUGAGUUUGAAGAUCCCAGAGAUGCCUCUGAUGCAGUGAGAGAACUGGAUGGGAGAACAUUGUGUGGCUGUCGAGUCCGUGUUGAAUUAUCCACUGGAGAAAAGCGUUCAAGAAGCCGUGGUCCUCCUCCAUCAUGGAGUCGACACUCAAGGGAUGACGUCAGGCGCCGAAGCCCCGUAGUUAGACGCAGAGUCACCACCACGCUUCUCACCAUCUGAGUCAGUCAACUAGUCCUCUUUCAGCAUCAUGUGACUGCUGACCUGCUUGGCUGGUGUUGUCACAUGAUCCAGGCGCACCGCCAGUCGUCAGGUUCCACCAAGCUUUUGGUUCCUGAGCAUGCAGUUCCCGGCAUCCUCCUUCUUCUCCAACCUUAACCCAAUCAACAGCGGCCCACCUCACAUUAUCAACCAAUCGCCGUCUUUACUCGUACUAUUCGCCAUGCGACCACUGUAUCAACGGGAACUGCCCUUGGCUUACAUCCCUCCCCCUAAAGAGAAACUACAACCAUCCCCGUCAACCAGCAAACAAGCAACUUCAUAUCGCCAACAUUUGCAGCAUGUGGCAGAUCCUCUCUGCAAUUUGACCUCCCUGUCCAUGGCUACCAUGCGCCAUUUCUUUCUUGUCCAAACCCCCCAAAAUAAUCACCAAGGAAGAGAAGCCUGAGUCGCAGUCGCAGCAGGC